GUAGUAGGUGAGUGAUGGGGUGACGCAGGAAGGUAGUCCAGCCCGGGCGGUGGUUGUCCCGGGGUAAGGGUGUAGGCCGUGUGAUAGGCAAAUCCGUCACACAUUAAGGCUGAGACCUGAUGCCGAGCCGAUUGUGGUGAAGUGGAUGAUCCUAUGCUGUCGAGAAAAGCCUCUAGCGAGUUUCAUGGCGGCCCGUACCCUAAACCGAAACUUCGGGAGAAGGGGGGCCAUUUCCGGUGAUGAGACUUGCUCUCUGAGCUGGGGGUGGCCGCAGAGACCAGCGAGAAGCGACUGUUUACUAAAAACACAGGUCCGUGCGAAGCCGUAAGGCGAUGUAUACGGACUGACGCCUGCCCGGUGCUGGAACGUUAAGGGGACCGGUUAGCUCCAUUUCGGUGGGGCGAAGCUGAGAACUUAAGCGCCAGUAAACGGCGGUGGUAACUAUAACCAUCCUAAGGUAGCGAAAUUCCUUGUCGGGUAAGUUCCGACCUGCACGAAUGGCGUAACGACUUCUCGACUGUCUCAACCAUAGGCCCGGUGAAAUUGCACUACGAGUAAAGAUGCUCGUUUCGCGCAGCAGGACGGAAAGACCCCGGGACCUUUACUAUAGCUUGAUAUUGGUGUUCGGUUCGGCUUGUGUAGGAUAGGUGGGAGACUGUGAAGCAUGCACGCCAGUGUGUGUGGAGUCGACGUUGAAAUACCACUCUGGUCGUGCUGGAUGUCUAACCUAGGUCCGUGAUCCGGAUCAGGGACAGUGUCUGGUGGGUAGUUUAACUGGGGCGGUUGCCUCCUAAAGAGUAACGGAGGCGCCCAAAGGUUCCCUCAGCCUGGUUGGCAAUCAGGUGUUGAGUGUAAGUGCACAAGGGAGCUUGACUGUGAGACCGACGGGUCGAGCAGGGACGAAAGUCGGGACUAGUGAUCCGGCGGUGGCUUGUGGAAGCGCCGUCGCUCAACGGAUAAAAGGUACCCCGGGGAUAACAGGCUGAUCUUCCCCAAGAGUCCAUAUCGACGGGAUGGUUUGGCACCUCGAUGUCGGCUCGUCGCAUCCUGGGGCUGGAGUCGGUCCCAAGGGUUGGGCUGUUCGCCCAUUAAAGCGGUACGCGAGCUGGGUUUAGAACGUCGUGAGACAGUUCGGUCCCUAUCCGCUGUGCGCGUAGGAGUCUUGAGAAGGGCUGUCCCUAGUACGAGAGGACCGGGACGGACGAACCUCUGGUGUGCCAGUUGUCCUGCCAAGGGCAUGGCUGGUUGGCUACGUUCGGGAGGGAUAACCGCUGAAAGCAUCUAAGCGGGAAGCCUGCUUCGAGAUGAGGACUCCCACCCACUUGAUGGGGUAAGGCUCCCAGUAGACGACUGGGUUGAUAGGCCAGAUAUGGAAGCCGGGUAACCGGUGGAGUUGACUGGUACUAAUAGGCCGAGGGCUUGUCCUCAGUUG
Molecule: ribosomal RNA, 1432 nt
Filed under: Streptomyces albus subsp. albus
Lineage: Bacteria; Bacillati; Actinomycetota; Actinomycetes; Kitasatosporales; Streptomycetaceae
Description: bacterial LSU rRNA
Rfam family: Bacterial large subunit ribosomal RNA
Source: RNAcentral